Molecule: long non-coding RNA, 433 nt
Organism: Varroa destructor (honeybee mite)
Lineage: Eukaryota; Metazoa; Arthropoda; Arachnida; Mesostigmata; Varroidae
Source: RefSeq, a predicted model, not a curated record
CCUCCGUUGCAAGCGGUGCCAACAUGACGAUGUCUAUGAAUUCACAGCAAAAAAAAAAAUAGCUCCUGAAAUGUAGCACUCUGUUUGAACAAUUCAUAGAGUAAGACAUCUAAAGACAUUAUUUUCAAAUGCGACGUUUUCAAGAACAUGCGCGGCAUUACCUACGAACAUUUCGACUGUUUCUAUGUACGGGUUCAAGGCCUAUCAUAUCAGAAUUUCCAGCUUGCUUGCAUGCUAAUAAAACUGGCCCGCAGUUCUCCAAAAACUAUGCAAAGACGGAUCCCGAAUUUCUCGGUUGUCUGAGAAGGUAGCUUCGACAGCAGCUUUUCUUGCUCAUCGUUACGUUUACCGAAAAUAAUACGGCAAUUUAUUGGAGGAUAAAUGCACCCAGCAUGGUAGGAGAAAAGGCACGUAGAACCUUCGGCUGUCGUAA